UUCAGGCACUGUAGAUCCUACUUGGGAGGGUUGAGAGCUCCUGACGGAUUUUCGAGUUCACUAGGUAGCUACUCGUCGUUCGUAGCCCCGUGCUUCUCCCCCCUUUAUCUCAUUUCCUUUCCUUUAUUAGUGAUUCUGUAAUAGCUUUGUAGACUCUUCAAACUUGUAGUAUAUUGAUAGAUGCUCAUGACUAGUGACACCUUGGUAUCUGCUUGAGUUGGUUUUUUUUCAUGUUUAAGACUCAAUAAUUAUUGUUUUAAUUGCUAAAUUGUUAAAUGGGAAUGUGUCGGCUAGCUUUGUCUUCAUGAGAG
Molecule: long non-coding RNA, 311 nt
Filed under: Nicotiana benthamiana
Lineage: Eukaryota; Viridiplantae; Streptophyta; Magnoliopsida; Solanales; Solanaceae
Description: long non-coding RNA (NBEN_LNC035009)
Source: RNAcentral